UCCCCGUUCUCCUGGGCAGUCUCUCCAGAGUUCCUGACAUGUCAAGGGUAGGUAAGGUUUUUCGCGUUGCAUCGAAUUAAACCACAUCAUCCACCGCUUGUGCGGGCCCCCGUCAAUUCCUUUGAGUUUUAAUCUUGCGACCGUACUCCCCAGGCGGAUGACUUCGCGCGUUAGCUGCGUUACUAAGGGAUUUAACUCCCCCAACAACUAGUCAUCAUCGUUUAGGGCGUGGACUAC
This 237-nucleotide unclassified non-coding RNA is filed under the name uncultured Gammaproteobacteria bacterium. RNAcentral's name for it is "contains 16S-23S intergenic spacer region". Lineage: Bacteria; Pseudomonadati; Pseudomonadota; Gammaproteobacteria. The record is from RNAcentral.